GCGUGCUUCUAUCCUUAUGGAGGGUUCGUCGUUGCUAAAACUCAAGCCCUCAGUUGCACCGCCGGAGUUGAACAUAUCAAUCAAUCCAAUUGGGGCAAAAUGGAGGGUGUCGUUCACAGCCUGUUCAUAUAAAAGUUACAUAUCGAGACAACGAUCCUAUUUCGUGAUAUCAUGUUAA
Long non-coding RNA from Salvia splendens (bonfire salvia), 178 nucleotides. RefSeq lists it as uncharacterized. The transcript is spliced from 2 exons. NCBI's taxonomy places the organism in Eukaryota, Viridiplantae, Streptophyta, Magnoliopsida, Lamiales, Lamiaceae. The record is from RefSeq and is a predicted model, not a curated record.